AUUACUGCUGCUGCUGCUACUGCUGAGUGCUACUGCUGUCGCUGCUGCUGCGGCUAUUAAGUGCAAAAUGAAACUGCAAGGACUGUUUUGUAAAAGCAGAAUUCCUGCUUUGUGGGGGGGUUUAAGUGCUAUUGUUUAGACUUAUCCCUUAACCCCAACCCCUCAGCCCCCUCCUACGUACAGAGAACUUCGUAUCUCUCUCUCAUUCUUAUCUUUCUCUUCUUCUUUCUCUCUCUAAACCCUAGGGUAGUUUGGUUGGUUUUGUUGAAGAAUAAGUUGGUGUAGAUGCUGUUUGGAGCUGAGAGGAAGCCUUUUAAACAAGGAAAUCAGCUGGUGGUAGCUGAAAUCUGAGGUAAAGUGAUAUGAAUUCCUGGUU
Molecule: long non-coding RNA, 376 nt
Filed under: Ananas comosus (pineapple)
Lineage: Eukaryota; Viridiplantae; Streptophyta; Magnoliopsida; Poales; Bromeliaceae
Description: long non-coding RNA (ACOM_LNC024158)
Source: RNAcentral